Molecule: transfer RNA, 72 nt
Filed under: Nanobdellota archaeon
Lineage: Archaea; Nanobdellati; Nanobdellota
Description: tRNA-Tyr
Rfam family: tRNA
About the family: Transfer RNA (tRNA) molecules are approximately 80 nucleotides in length. Their secondary structure includes four short double-helical elements and three loops (D, anti-codon, and T loops).
Source: RNAcentral
CCCCCCUUAGCUCAGCGGUAGAGCGUUCCGCUGUAGACGGAAAGGUCCCCGGUUCAAGUCUGGGAGGGGGGA